AUUAUUUUUUAAUUCUCUCCAUUUACUCGCCUUUAGAUAGUUUAGAUGGUGUUUGUUUACUCACUGGGAUUUAUAAUCUCACCACCCUCAAUUCCCCACAUUUCAGGUUCGGGAUAGCCGGUAGAUAGCAGAUUGCAUCAAGGACUUCAGUUAGCCUUGCAUUGUCAAAAUUAUAGGUUCACAAACUCGCUUCUUAUUGGUUAGUUAGGGGCCCA
RNAcentral lists this long non-coding RNA (215 nucleotides) under Theobroma cacao (cacao). RNAcentral's name for it is "long non-coding RNA (TCAC_LNC001232)". Lineage: Eukaryota; Viridiplantae; Streptophyta; Magnoliopsida; Malvales; Malvaceae. The record is from RNAcentral.